Denticeps clupeoides (denticle herring) is the source of this 1559-nucleotide long non-coding RNA. The record is from Ensembl. Lineage: Eukaryota; Metazoa; Chordata; Actinopteri; Clupeiformes; Denticipitidae.
AUUCUUGUGUUAUAUAAUUUCUUGUUUUAGGACAACUUCACUUCCAUCGGUCCAGUGACUACUUUCAAAAUGAAGUAAGGGUUUUACUCUCAUAGACUGUCAUUUCCCCUGUUUCCCCUCAGUGCUUCAUGUGAUCUUCAUGCUCUCCCUCUUCCUCUGUAUUAUCUGUAAUUUUGUCUGUGCUAUGGAUUCUUGCUAUUUUCACUUGUGUACUGUAUGCAUGACUUUUCACAACAUUUGAACGUUGACAAUUUACUUCACCUUUUUGGCUAGGUGUUUCUCCAUCACAGAGAAUGAAUGAGACCUCUUGUGAAUGGUUUACAUGGGACACGAAAUCCAUAUUCCCAUUUGUAGUUGGCGCUGCCUUCUCAGCAAUUGUCAUCGGCAUUGUACUCUGUAUCUGCCUCUGCUGCAAAAGAAAAGCAAAACGCAAAGAGCUCAAAGCCGGCAUGUACUUUACGAGUGUGUCCAGUGAUGAUUCGAAGGUUGAAGCAGGAUAUGACAAGGUGCCUCUUCAAGGCAUUGUGACCUUCCCAGGAGGAGCUGAAGGAGUGACUAAUGGGGAGAAGACAACCAGCCCAGAGAAAGACGUGGACUACGCUACGAUCAAUUACUCCAUGCUGCAGAAGAGGGACGACACCAGCGUCCUGGGCCAGAAGAAGGACUUGGACACGGAGUAUGCAGAGAUAAAGAAGGAAAAGAAGCCUGAUGAUCAGGCCAGGAAAAAAGAUGAUGAGGACGGGAAGGAGAAGACGGAGGAAGGGAAGAAAGAUCAGGAACCAGUUGCUGAAGAAGGGGGCAGAGCUCAGCAUGAAGAAAAGUCCUCGGUGCCUUUGGUGAAUUAGGCUCUAAAAAGAGAGGGUGUGCAAGCACCAGUAGAAUGGUCAGGACAGAGUUCCACUAAAUGCUGAGAGAUGCGGGCUUAAAUGGUUUGGCAACUUAUCUUAAAACAGACACCACAUCCCGGAAAUUAGAGAAAUAAUGUCAUGUCACAAUGUCAUGCCAUGAACUAAAGCUGUUGCGAUGCCCUUGCAAACACACUCUUCCUGUUUUGUGCAACUCUGUAAUGUUCUCAUAGGUACAGUAACCAUUUUUAAAAAUCAGAUGAUUGGUGUAGGAUUUAGAAGCCCGAAAUAUUUUUUUGCUUGCAGUGUACACUUAUGCAACUUUAGUAAAAACAUGUUCUGCACCUUGUACUUGUCCAGUUUCUGAAAUAAAUGUACCAUUAUGGGCUGUAUCCAAUCUUCUGCCAUGCAUAACUGAGGGUCAAAGGUCAGCAUCAGUGUUGUCCAGAUUUCCAUCAUUUACAUGGUUGUCCAUGGUAGCAAGAACGCAUCUAGCUGGGGCACACUAUGAAUGCAUCCCCAGUUCUUUCAGAACUUGCAGACUUGCAGUUUUCCACCCUAAUGUCACAGAUUACACCAGAAUGCUUCUUGUUUCACUGUGUUCAGUACAGUGCACAUGCUACACAAGUUUUUAAAAGCAUGGGGAUACAUCAAAAUACUGAGUUGGGGUGAUGCAUGCCUCUUUUUACCAUAUGCAUUUAAAUAUGUAUACAG